AACCUCAAAGAAAUUACAAAGAAACAAUAAGAGAUCUUAAAAAAAUAUUAGAAUGAUCACAAAUAUAUCUCAAAUACAUCUCAAUUCAAUCUUAAUUUAAUCCUAGUUAAAAUCCUAUUGAACUUCAUUCAAAUAUUAGGCAAAAAACUAACUAAAACUUAAAUCUUAGACAAACUCUAAUAAAAUUCUAAACCCUAAACCAAAUCCUAAUCAAACCUUAAAUUCUAAAUCAAAUCCUACACAAAUCCUAAACCCUAAAUCAAAUCCUAAAACAUCCUAAAUCCUAAACCAAAUUCUAAUCAAAUCCUAACCAAAUCCUAAUCCUAAAUCAAACUCUAGUUAAAUCUUAAUCCUAAAUCAAAUCCUAAUCAAA
This 373-nucleotide long non-coding RNA is filed under the name Physcomitrium patens. Its description in RNAcentral is "long non-coding RNA (PPAT_LNC000366)". Lineage: Eukaryota; Viridiplantae; Streptophyta; Bryopsida; Funariales; Funariaceae. The record is from RNAcentral.